This 456-nucleotide ribosomal RNA is filed under the name Triticum aestivum (bread wheat). RNAcentral's name for it is "partial small subunit ribosomal RNA". The record is from RNAcentral. Lineage: Eukaryota; Viridiplantae; Streptophyta; Magnoliopsida; Poales; Poaceae.
AUGUCCUUUCCGCCUCCCAUCCAUGCUCGCCAUGGUUAUCUCUUUCGGCCGGGUCCAAUGAGCAAUGGUGAGACCAUGUGUCGCGGUGAGCAGCCGGAUUCGGCCACUGGAGAGCCGCGCCGUGGAUCUAGCCAUCCCAGGCCGAUUUCUAGUGUCGAGGGUGACCUGAUAAUUUCUACCUCAGUCGAGUUGCGCCGUCGUCUGACCAACUCGGGCCUAUUUCUGAUGCCGAGGGCAUCGCGUUCUGCAACGAAGCUGCACGACGACAUGGCUCUUCCGCUGUCCACUGGUUGCCGCUUGCCACUCCGAGUAGUAGGCGCCGACGCCAAGAGAGAGGACGACUGGCCUCCACUCGCACAGGAAGGAGUUGCUGCAUGUAGGCCUGCUACACCGCCUACUGUUGGUAUGCUCGGUAUUGGACAUGGAAAUCACACAGCAAAGGUACAAUUUUUUUGA